This 1302-nucleotide ribosomal RNA is filed under the name uncultured bacterium. RNAcentral describes it as "bacterial SSU rRNA". It matches the Rfam family "Bacterial small subunit ribosomal RNA", at positions 27 to 1381 of the family's 1533-position model. The record is from RNAcentral.
GAACGAACGCUGGCGGCAGGCCUAACACAUGCAAGUCGAACGCCCCGCAAGGGGAGUGGCAGACGGGUGAGUAACACGUGGGAACCUUCCCUAUAGUACGGAAUAGCCCAGGGAAACUUGGAGUAAUACCGUAUACGCCCGAAAGGGGAAAGAAUUUCGCUAUAGGAUGGGCCCGCGUAGGAUUAGCUAGUUGGUGAGGUAAUGGCUCACCAAGGCGACGAUCCUUAGCUGGUUUGAGAGAACGACCAGCCACACUGGGACUGAGACACAGUCCAGACUCCUACGGGAGGCAGCAGUGGGGAAUAUUGCACAAUGGAGGGAACUCUGAUGCAGCGACGCCGCGUGAGUGAAGAAGGUCUUCGGAUCGUAAAACUCUGUCCUUGGUGAAGAAAAGGACGGUAGCCAAGGAGGAAGCCCCGGCUAACUACGUGCCAGCAGCCGCGGUAAUACGUAGGGGGCGAGCGUUGUCCGGAUUUACUGGGCGUAAAGGGUGAGUAGGCGGUUAUAUAUGUCAGGUGUAAAAAGCUAUGGCUUAACCAUAGUAAGCACUUGAAACUGUAUGACUUGAGUGCAGGAGAGGUAAGCGGAAUUCCUAGUGUAGCGGUGAAAUGCGUAGAUAUUAGGAGGAACACCGGUGGCGAAGGCGGCUUACUGGACUGUAACUGACGCUGAGUCACGAAAGCGUGGGUAGCAAACAGGAUUAGAUACCCUGGUAGUCCACGCUGUAAACGAUGAGUGCUAGGUGUUGGGUAGCGAUAUUCAGUGCCGGAGUAAACACAAUAAGCACUCCGCCUGGGGAGUACGGUCGCAAGACUGAAACUCAAAGGAAUUGACGGGGACCCGCACAAGCAGCGGAGCAUGUGGUUUAAUUCGAAGCAACGCGAAGAACCUUACCAAGGCUUGACAUCCCCUUGACAGAUGCAGAGAUGUAUCCUCCCCUUCGGGGGCAAGGGAGACAGGUGGUGCAUGGUUGUCGUCAGCUCGUGUCGUGAGAUGUUGGGUUAAGUCCCGCAACGAGCGCAACCCUUAUCCUUAGUUGCCAGCAUUUAAGGUGGGCACUCUAAGGAGACUGCCGGUGAUAAACCGGAGGAAGGUGGGGAUGACGUCAAAUCAUCAUGCCCCUUAUGUCUUGGGCUACACACGUGCUACAAUGGUCGGUACAACGGGCAGCUAUGGAGCGAUCCGGAGCAAAUCCCAAUAAACCGAUCCCAGUUCGGAUUGCAGGCUGCAACUCGCCUGCAUGAAGUCGGAGUUGCUAGUAAUCGCGAAUCAGAACGUCGCGGUGAAUGCGUUCCCGGGUCU